CCCAGAGGUAUUGAUAGGUGAAGUCAUCCGUAAGGUUGACUGACUUGAAUUACACCAACCUGCGCAGAUGCGCAGGUUUUUUUU
Molecule: small RNA, 84 nt
Filed under: Pseudocitrobacter vendiensis
Lineage: Bacteria; Pseudomonadati; Pseudomonadota; Gammaproteobacteria; Enterobacterales; Enterobacteriaceae
Description: OmrA-B family
Rfam family: OmrA-B family
Source: RNAcentral